RNAcentral lists this ribosomal RNA (486 nucleotides) under uncultured bacterium. RNAcentral's name for it is "partial 16S ribosomal RNA". It matches the Rfam family "Bacterial small subunit ribosomal RNA", at positions 30 to 507 of the family's 1533-position model. The record is from RNAcentral.
AUUGAACGCUGGCGGCAUGCCUUACACAUGCAAGUCGAACGGCAGCACGGGUGCUUGCACCUGGUGGCGAGUGGCGAACGGGUGAGUAAUACAUCGGAACAUGUCCUGUAGUGGGGGAUAGCACGGCGAAAGCCGGAUUAAUACCGCAUACGAUCUACGGAUGACAGCGGGGGACCUUCGGGCCUCGCGCUAUAGGGUUGGCCGAUGGCUGAUUAGCUAGUUGGUGGGGUAAAGGCCUACCAAGGCGACGAUCAGUAGCUGGUCUGAGAGGACGACCAGCCACACUGGGACUGAGACACGGCCCAGACUCCUACGGGAGGCAGCAGUGGGGAAUUUUGGACAAUGGGCGAAAGCCUGAUCCAGCAAUGCCGCGUGUGUGAAGAAGGCCUUCGGGUUGUAAAGCACUUUUGUCCGGAAAGAAAUCCUUGGCCCUAAUACGGUCGGGGGAUGACGGUACCGGAAGAAUAAGCACCGGCUAACUACGUG